This 752-nucleotide ribosomal RNA is filed under the name Dichosporidium brunnthaleri. RNAcentral's name for it is "LSU rRNA". It matches the Rfam family "Eukaryotic large subunit ribosomal RNA", at positions 177 to 941 of the family's 3401-position model. The record is from RNAcentral. Lineage: Eukaryota; Fungi; Ascomycota; Arthoniomycetes; Arthoniales; Roccellaceae.
CGGGCCAAGUCCUUUGGAACGAGGCGCCUUAGAGGGUGAGAGCCCCGUCCCCUCCCGGGCCGCCGUCGCCGCGCGAAGCUCCUUCGAAGAGUCGAGUUGUUUGGGAAUGCAGCUCUAAUCGGGAGGUAAAUUCCUUCUAAAGCUAAAUACCGGCCAGAGACCGAUAGCGCACAAGUAGAGUGAUCGAAAGAUGAAAAGCACUUUGGAAAGAGAGUCAAAAAGCACGUGAAAUUGUUGAAAGGGAAGCUCUUGCCGCCAGACUUGCCGCGGUCGCUCACCCGCCCCCCGGGGCGGCGCACUCGUCCGCCGGCNGGCCAGCGUCGGUUCGGGCGGCCGGACAAAGGCCCUAGGAACGUAGCCCCCCUCGGGGGGUGUUAUAGCCUGGGGCGCAACGCGGUCAGCCCGGUCCGAGGAACGCGCCCUCGCGCGAGGACGCUGGCGUAAUGGCCGCAAGCGACCNGUCUUGAAAACACGGACCAAGGAGUCUAACGUCUGUGCGAGUGUUCGGGUGUCAAACCCGCGCGCGCAAUGAAAGUGAACGGAGGUGGGAACCCCCUCGAGGGGCGCACCAUCGACCGAUCCUGAUGUCCUCGGAUGGAUUUGAGUAAGAGCAUAGCUGUUGGGACCCGAAAGAUGGUGAACUAUACCUGGAUAGGGUGAAGCCAGAGGAAACUCUGGUGGAGGCUCGCAGCGGUUCUGACGUGCAAAUCGAUCGUCAAAUCUUGGUAUAGGGGCGAAAGACUAAUCGAACC